UGUAGAUCGAUCAGUGCGCACACCACAGACAAUCUUUGCCAUUAUACUAUGGGACAAUUUAGUUUUAAGAAAGUUAUAUAGACAAUACGCAUUUUAUGCAGAUAUAUAUUCCCCCCUCCCUCCCCCCACCCGUUUCAAUGUUGCGCCUAUGCCAAAAGACGUCUCGUUUGUGAUAUAUUAUUUUUUAUGACAGCAACAUUGAACAGGGGGCAUGGGGGAAACUGAACAGUAGCGGUGUUAAGACGUUUCACUAUUUGUCCCAUAGUUUCUGGCAAAGAUUGUAGCAAUCACCCUAUAAUUCUUGGGUGUCUAUAUUCCACUAUAAACAAACGUAAUCAUUGUCUAUCCUAUAUAUAGUCAGUUAUAUCGUAAUAAAGUAAAGCUAACAAAUUGUCAAUAAAUUAAAAAGACAGUUACGCUGAAAUAUGUUUACAGUAUAUGUUUAGUGUUUGAGGAUUGCGUCGUUG
This is a non-coding RNA of Paramuricea clavata, 467 nucleotides long. NCBI's taxonomy places the organism in Eukaryota, Metazoa, Cnidaria, Anthozoa, Malacalcyonacea, Plexauridae. The record is from the annotation of a GenBank genome assembly.